This 164-nucleotide ribosomal RNA is filed under the name Cirsium occidentale. RNAcentral's name for it is "5.8S ribosomal RNA". It matches the Rfam family "5.8S ribosomal RNA". From Rfam's summary of the family: 5.8S ribosomal RNA (5.8S rRNA) is a component of the large subunit of the eukaryotic ribosome. It is transcribed by RNA polymerase I as part of the 45S precursor that also contains 18S and 28S rRNA. Lineage: Eukaryota; Viridiplantae; Streptophyta; Magnoliopsida; Asterales; Asteraceae. The record is from RNAcentral.
AUAAACGACUCUCGGCAACGGAUAUCUCGGCUCACGCAUCGAUGAAGAACGUAGCAAAAUGCGAUACUUGGUGUGAAUUGCAGAAUCCCCUGAACCAUCGAGUUUUUGAACGCAAGUUGCGCCCGAAGCCAUUCGGCCGAGGGCACGUCUGCCUGGGCGUCACG